UCUCUCUCUCUCUCACACACACUCACAGAACCAGUCACCACCAGACCUCACUUCACUGUAGUCGCUCACCACCGUUGCUUACCACAAGUUGUACAUUGUCACCGCCACUGCCGCAAUACAAACAAAUUCUCUCUUCUUUUUCUCUCUCUCUCUCUUUCUCUCUCUCUCUCUCUCUCUCUCUCUCUCUCUCUUCCUUUCCUUAUUUCUCCAUCAAUGUCUACACUACCUACACCCAAACAAAAGCCUACAGUCACUUGCUCUCCCUCUUCUCACAGACUCACCAUCCCUGCUAACAGUCACUGCCGCUAACCAUUGCCACUCUCGCUACCGUCGGUCACCAUCGCGGCUCCCCCCUGUCAUCCACAUUCAGUUCGGUGGUUACACUGGCUCUGAAGAUAUACAUAAACAUGCAAUCACAAGCCCCUGAUUUUUUUCUCAUUCUGUUGAUCAAGCUCAAACUGUAAGUCUCUUCAAUCUCUCCAUAUAUUCAUUCAUUUAGGGAUCAUAUCUAGUACUUUGAAUGAAUGGCUGAAAUGUACUGAUUUUAAUUUGUUUGUCUUCAUUGUCUAGUUUUAAUUUGAAAAAUUGAAUUCGUUUCACUUUCAAAUUCGUGCUCUUCUCGAGCAUAUUUAGAACAAGUUAUGAAGUUUUUUUGUAAUUUAUCUCAGAUUUUCUUUUGUAAUUUUCUUUUUUCAUUUGCUGUGAAAUUUAGGCUUUUUUUUUGGAUCGUUGCUAGAUUGAAAUAAAGGUGUUGUGAUUGGAGAAAAGAGAGAGAGAGAAGAUGACUGAGAGCACGAGGUUUCAACUCGGGAUCGUUGGCGUGCUGAGCCUAUUAGUGAUUUCAUCAGUUUCAAUUGUGAUCUGCAAUAAGGCCCUUAUUACCACAUUAGGUUUUAAUUUUGGAUAUAAAUUGCAGGCUCAAGAAUUCAUUGACACUACUGAUAUAGAUGCUUUGGUAGUAUGUAUUGGAAAUGUCCAUGGAAAAUACCCUGCAAGUGGCCCAAAUCUCAGACUUGAUUUGCUGAAGAUGGCUUUUGGCGUGGACUUGUGGAUACUCUUUUUUUGUGUAUAGAGGACAAUUUCGACUUUUGCAUAAUCCUGAUAAUUUUGUCAUCCUCCACUUUUGUGUGGAUUAUUAUUACUCGUACAUAUAUUUUUUGACAUCGACUUGAUAAUUACUGGCGUGGUAUAUAGAAUUCUUUUUGUCGUGGUACAGAUUAUGAAGUAUAUACAUUUUUUGUACAUAGAGGGCUUGAUUUUUGUAACUUUUGCAGUUAUGUUUUGAAUGGAAUUAUUAUUUUAGUUUGGACUAUAUAGUACAGGUUGGACUAUGGUUUGUAUGGAAUUUUGCAUUUACAGUUAUAUAUUUUUGGAU
Non-coding RNA from Camellia sinensis, 1375 nucleotides. Lineage: Eukaryota; Viridiplantae; Streptophyta; Magnoliopsida; Ericales; Theaceae. The record is from RefSeq and is a predicted model, not a curated record.